Molecule: ribosomal RNA, 497 nt
Filed under: uncultured bacterium
Lineage: Bacteria
Description: partial 16S ribosomal RNA
Rfam family: Bacterial small subunit ribosomal RNA
Source: RNAcentral
GAUGAACGCUGGCGGCGUGCCUAAUACAUGCAAGUCGAGCGAACAGACGAGGAGCUUGCUCCUCUGACGUUAGCGGCGGACGGGUGAGUAACACGUGGAUAACCUACCUAUAAGACUGGGAUAACUUCGGGAAACCGGAGCUAAUACCGGAUAAUAUAUUGAACCGCAUGGUUCAAUAGUGAAAGACGGUUUUGCUGUCACUUAUAGAUGGAUCCGCGCCGCAUUAGCUAGUUGGUAAGGUAACGGCUUACCAAGGCAACGAUGCGUAGCCGACCUGAGAGGGUGGUAGGCCACCCUGGAACUGAGACACGGUCCAGACUCCUACGGGAGGCAGCAGUAGGGAAUCUUCCGCAAUGGGCGAAAGCCUGACGGAGCAACGCCGCGUGAGUGAUGAAGGUCUUCGGAUCGUAAAACUCUGUUAUUAGGGAAGAACAAAUGUGUAAGUAACUAUGCACGUCUUGACGGUACCUAAUCAGAAAGCCACGGCUAACUACGUG